Molecule: transfer RNA, 90 nt
Filed under: Burkholderia multivorans
Lineage: Bacteria; Pseudomonadati; Pseudomonadota; Betaproteobacteria; Burkholderiales; Burkholderiaceae
Description: tRNA-Tyr
Rfam family: tRNA
About the family: Transfer RNA (tRNA) molecules are approximately 80 nucleotides in length. Their secondary structure includes four short double-helical elements and three loops (D, anti-codon, and T loops). Further hydrogen bonds mediate the characteristic L-shaped molecular structure. tRNAs have two regions of fundamental functional importance: the anti-codon, which is responsible for specific mRNA codon recognition, and the 3' end, to which the tRNAs corresponding amino acid is attached (by aminoacyl-tRNA synthetases). tRNAs cope with the degeneracy of the genetic code in two manners: having more than one tRNA (with a specific anti-codon) for a particular amino acid; and 'wobble' base-pairing, i.e. permitting non-standard base-pairing at the 3rd anti-codon position.
Source: RNAcentral
GGGCGCGCUGAGCACUGGCCUGAGCUCAACUGACUGUAAAUCAGCCGCAUCGUCAAUAAGCCUGUGUAGGUUCGAAUCCUACCGCGCCCA